This 97-nucleotide small nuclear RNA is filed under the name Mustela putorius furo (domestic ferret). The record is from RNAcentral. Lineage: Eukaryota; Metazoa; Chordata; Mammalia; Carnivora; Mustelidae.
UUCCACAGGAAUUUUACUAAAACUGGAAUGACAGAGAAGAUUAGCAUGGCCCCUGAGCAAGGAUAAUGCACAAAUCCGUGAAGCAGUCCGUAUUUUG